CAGACAGUUCAACAAAUCAGGAGGACCACAACAAGGUCCAGAUGCUGUGGUUCAUCUGUCUGUUGUUUACUUGGAAGAACAGAAGAACACUGAUGAUAGAGUCACCUUGAUCUGCUCUGUGUUGACUGAUGAUGAGUGUGACACAGUGAAGUGGUUGUAUGAGGGGAAUGAGAAUGACGUGGAGAUAACAGCUCAUACCUGUUCAGCCAGUGUGACAUUUCCUCCUCAUCUUAAUCAGAAGUUACUGAAGUGUAAUGUGACAGAUAAGAAGAAUGGAAACACGCUGCUGUGUAAUGUCGGCCCCCAGUCCUCUUGUAAGAAAACAGGAAGCACAACAGUGGGAACAGAUAACACAUCACCAACACCAGAG
Perca fluviatilis (European perch) is the source of this 370-nucleotide long non-coding RNA. RefSeq lists it as uncharacterized. NCBI's taxonomy places the organism in Eukaryota, Metazoa, Chordata, Actinopteri, Perciformes, Percidae. The transcript is spliced from 3 exons. The record is from RefSeq and is a predicted model, not a curated record.